UACAUGGGGUGCAAACGUUGCUCGGAAUUAUUGGGCGUAAAGCGCACGUAGGCGGUCUACUAAGUCGGAUGUGAAAGCCCUCGGCUUAACCGAGGAAGUGCAUCCGAAACUGGCAGGCUAGAGUACAGAAGAGGGUCGCGGAAUUCCCGGUGUAGAGGUGAAAUUCGUAGAUAUCGGGAGGAACACCGGUGGCGAAGGCGGCGACCUGGGCUGAUACUGACGCUGAGGUGCGAAAGCGUGGGGAGCAAACAGG
This 253-nucleotide ribosomal RNA is filed under the name uncultured bacterium. RNAcentral describes it as "partial 16S ribosomal RNA". It matches the Rfam family "Bacterial small subunit ribosomal RNA", at positions 524 to 776 of the family's 1533-position model. The record is from RNAcentral.